RNAcentral lists this ribosomal RNA (253 nucleotides) under uncultured bacterium. RNAcentral's name for it is "partial 16S ribosomal RNA". It matches the Rfam family "Bacterial small subunit ribosomal RNA", at positions 524 to 776 of the family's 1533-position model. The record is from RNAcentral.
GACGAACCGUGCGAACGUUAUUCGGAAUCACUGGGCUUAAAGGGCGCGUAGGCGGGUCCGUAAGUCAGGGGUGAAAUCCCACGGCCCAACCGUGGAAGUGCCUCUGAUACUGCGGGCCUCGAGGGGGAUAGGGGCGUGCGGAACUCAGGGUGGAGCGGUGAAAUGCGUAGAUAUCCUGAGGAACACCGGUGGCGAAAGCGGCGCGCUGGAUCCCUUCUGACGCUGAGGCGCGAAAGCCAGGGGAGCAAACGUG